UGCAGCGCCCCAGGCCUCCGAGGCUGAGGAGGAAGAAAAGCCCUUUUCUUGCGCAGAAGCCAGGCCCUGUGACCCUGGACUGUCCCCCACUGUCCCGGCCGCACCACUGUAAAUGUCAUCGCCAAGACAAGGAAACCGGUCGAGAUAAAGAUGGAAUCGUUUCCCAAGCCCGGCAAGGGGAGUGAGGACUUGAACCCAGACUGGCUGGCUCCAGAGGCCAAGCUCGUAACCACUAAUAGCAACAGCAGCUGACAGGCGGGUGUGAGCGCCUUGGCCGCUGUGCAAGUGCGAGGCAGCUCAGGCACAGAAAGGUCAGGCCGCUGCCCAGGUCACGCAGCUGGGGGAGACCGACCGGGGCUGACCAACUGCUUCCACAAUAUGGGGUCUACACCUGCUGCAGCCCCAGGCCAAACUGAGUACAAACCCAAUAAACAGUCGAUGAG
This is a long non-coding RNA of Fukomys damarensis (Damara mole-rat), 443 nucleotides long. RefSeq lists it as uncharacterized. The transcript has 3 exons. The record is from RefSeq and is a predicted model, not a curated record. NCBI's taxonomy places the organism in Eukaryota, Metazoa, Chordata, Mammalia, Rodentia, Bathyergidae.